This 431-nucleotide ribosomal RNA is filed under the name uncultured bacterium. RNAcentral describes it as "bacterial SSU rRNA". It matches the Rfam family "Bacterial small subunit ribosomal RNA", at positions 29 to 507 of the family's 1533-position model. The record is from RNAcentral.
AACGAACGCUGGCGGCAGGCUUAACACAUGCAAGUCGAGCGCCCCGCAAGGGGAGCGGCAGACGGGUGAGUAACGCGUGGGAAUCUACCCAUCUCUACGGAACAACUCCGGGAAACUGGAGCUAAUACCGUAUACGUCCUUUUGGAGAAAGAUUUAUCGGAGAUGGAUGAGCCCGCGUUGGAUUAGCUAGUUGGUGGGGUAAUGGCCUACCAAGGCGACGAUCCAUAGCUGGUCUGAGAGGAUGAUCAGCCACACUGGGACUGAGACACGGCCCAGACUCCUACGGGAGGCAGCAGUGGGGAAUAUUGGACAAUGGGCGCAAGCCUGAUCCAGCCAUGCCGCGUGAGUGAUGAAGGCCCUAGGGUUGUAAAGCUCUUUCACCGGUGAAGAUAAUGACGGUAACCGGAGAAGAAGCCCCGGCUAACUUCGUG